GGGCUUAGGCCCAAAACCAAACCUAAUGCUAAACCUGAAUCCAUCACCAGCAAGCAUGAAGACAAACUCAUAAACUGAAGCCACCAACAAUCCACAAGCUGAAAAACGGAAUCAAUCUAUUUCACUAAGCUAUAUCUGUAAAACGCUUCUCAAAAUGGAAAGCUUCUCGGAGAAUCACGAUUCCUUCAUAAGUUUUGCUCGUGUUUCAGAUUGUGCUUCAGAGUUGGAUCAUCAUCAUUGCAUCACCAUCAUAACAUGGAUUGUGUUUUGGGAAGUUCCUCAUCGCGAUUUCAAAGCAUUAGCUUGCGCUUCGGAUUAUACUUUGAAGUUUUCAGCAUCGUUGCAAAGUUCAUGAUUCACAUCAUUGAUUCAACAAUUCAAAGCUUUACAUCAACCACACUCCUAAUUGCGUUUAAUCUCAACGAAUUCGAUUGAAACCGAAAUGAAAUGGUAACAUAGAACAACAAGAACAAAUGCGGAUUGCAGCGAGAGAUAAUCACCAAAUCAGGUACUUGUCCGCUUCUUUUUCUCUUUCUCUUCGUGCUGCUUCUUCUAUUCUUCGAGCUUCUUCUGAUAUGUUGUGAAUCCUUGCAUGCAUGAGUUGGAGCGACUCCUGAUAUCUGCAGAUAAUGAACUUGGUGAAUUGGAACUGAAUUCAAAAAUGAGAAUGAGAGAGAAACCACUUGGGAGUGAAAGAGCUAUUGGAGUGUGAAUCCUGGAUGAUUCUGCAGCAACUCCUCCUUCCACUUCUGAUGAAGGUAUGCACGAUUAUAUAGACAAAGUUGUAACCGAAUCGGGCAUUCAAAAUGGGGCAGAUUUGUUAGAGUUUUGGCAGGUGUUAACUCUGUUAACUUUUCCAAGUGUAGGUACGUGAGCUAUGUCAUCCACUCUACAUGGUGGAACUUCUGUAUCUUCGUUUCUUCUGGUCUCAUACCUUAAACCUCUGCUUGGUUACCAAACUGGAAUCCACUGUUGCUUGCAAGUUGUUCAAUCCUUGCCUUGUAUCACCAUCAGUAGUGAAUAUGAUGGCCUUAAGGACGUAAUACUAGAGGCAUAAUGACCAUCAUUGCCGGUAAAAAUACGACUCCUUUGCAAAAUCAAACCAACAAUAGGAAAAAAAGAAUCACUAAUCAUCUUGAAGAAAUUAAGCUUCAUUAUGCUAUCAGUAAAUCCCGCAGAAGAAGCAUUCUUCUUGAAAAUAUGGAAAGAGGGACUCUUUGAUUGUCCAAGCUGCGACACGCUGGAAGAUCCCAAUUUGUUCAACCUCAUCACUUCAGGAAUUGACGGAAACACCAGAACUGCAUCAAGUUUGUCCCUUUCUUUCUCAACAGCAGUCUUCACUCUGAGUGUAAGCUCUUCAACAAAGAUCAAAGAACCAAUGGAGAUUUUAUUAUCUUCUAAAUCCUUACAGAAACAAUUGUAUGUCGAUACAUCACGAAGCUCUUCGACUAAGUAACCGACAACUUCAAAACAAGCAUCUUUUUGUUGGUGUAUUAAUUAAUUAGUGAAGUCAAAGUUGAGUUAAUACUAGGAGAAAUGAAAGCUAGCUUGAGUUAAUUGGUUAGUGGUUAAUAGUUGGAUAUGUUAUGGUGGAAUAUGAAGAAUCCAAAAUGGAGAUAGGCGCAUUAGAAAUUAGUGGUUGACUUUAGUCAAUUAUUGACCCAAAAAAUCAACAGUUGACUAAAAAGUCAACCUUGCAAAAACCUACAUUUCUUUGUAAUUUUGUGUAUAAACCAUAUAAAUUGAUACUUAAAUGAAAUGUAAUGAAAAAUUUGAACGAAAA
Lathyrus oleraceus (garden pea) is the source of this 1783-nucleotide long non-coding RNA. RefSeq lists it as uncharacterized. The transcript has 3 exons. The record is from RefSeq and is a predicted model, not a curated record. NCBI's taxonomy places the organism in Eukaryota, Viridiplantae, Streptophyta, Magnoliopsida, Fabales, Fabaceae.